AUACGGAGGAUCCGAGCGUUAUCCGGAUUUAUUGGGUUUAAAGGGAGCGUAGGUGGAUUGUUAAGUCAGUUGUGAAAGUUUGCGGCUCAACCGUAAAAUUGCAGUUGAAACUGGCAGUCUUGAGUACAGUAGAGGUGGGCGGAAUUCGGGGUGUAGCGGUGAAAUGCUUAGAUAUCACGAAGAACUCCGAUUGCGAAGGCAGCUCACUAGACUGUUACUGACACUGAUGCUCGAAAGUGUGGGUAUCAAACAGGAUUAGAUACCCUGGUAGUCCACACAGUAAACGAUGAAUACUCGCUGUUUGCGAUAUACAGUAAGCGGCCAAGCGAAAGCAUUAAGUAUUCCACCUGGGGAGUACGCCGGCAACGGUGAAACUCAAAGGAAUUGACGGGG
RNAcentral lists this ribosomal RNA (393 nucleotides) under uncultured bacterium. RNAcentral's name for it is "partial 16S ribosomal RNA". It matches the Rfam family "Bacterial small subunit ribosomal RNA", at positions 523 to 918 of the family's 1533-position model. The record is from RNAcentral.